GAGAUACUAGUAAAAUUUUACAUAACUUUGUCAAAGUUAAAUUAUAGGUUGAAAUCCUUUGUGUCUCU
This 68-nucleotide transfer RNA is filed under the name Prionodon linsang (banded linsang). RNAcentral's name for it is "tRNA-Asp". It matches the Rfam family "tRNA". From Rfam's summary of the family: Transfer RNA (tRNA) molecules are approximately 80 nucleotides in length. Their secondary structure includes four short double-helical elements and three loops (D, anti-codon, and T loops). Lineage: Eukaryota; Metazoa; Chordata; Mammalia; Carnivora; Viverridae. The record is from RNAcentral.